This is a long non-coding RNA of Etheostoma spectabile (orangethroat darter), 189 nucleotides long. RefSeq lists it as uncharacterized. NCBI's taxonomy places the organism in Eukaryota, Metazoa, Chordata, Actinopteri, Perciformes, Percidae. The record is from RefSeq and is a predicted model, not a curated record. The transcript is spliced from 4 exons.
CUAAAAUGGGUUUUAUGAUUUAUCUGCAUCGAGUAGUUUUACUUUGAAUUCUUUAAGUAUAUUUUCCUGAUGGUACUUACAUACUUUUAAUUAACGUAUUCAACGCGGGACUUUUACUUGAAACAGAGUAUUUUACAGUGUAGUAUUAUUACUUUUACUUAAAAGUAUUUCCACCAGUGUCCAGCUCAG